AACGAACGCUGGCGGCAUGCCUAACACAUGCAAGUCGAACGAGACCUUCGGGUCUAGUGGCGCACGGGUGCGUAACGCGUGGGAACCUGCCCUUAGGUUCGGAAUAACUCCCCGAAAGGGGUGCUAGUACCGGAUAAUGUCUUCGGACCAAAGAUUUAUCGCCUUUGGAUGGGCCCGCGUUGGAUUAGCUAGUUGGUAGGGUAAAAGCCUACCAAGGCGACGAUCCAUAGCUGGUCUGAGAGGAUGAUCAGCCACACUGGGACUGAGACACGGCCCAGACUCCUACGGGAGGCAGCAGUGGGGAAUAUUGGACAAUGGGCGAAAGCCUGAUCCAGCAAUGCCGCGUGAGUGAUGAAGGCCUUAGGGUUGUAAAGCUCUUUUACCCGGGAUGAUAAUGACAGUACCGGGAGAAUAAGCUCCGGCUAACUCCGUG
Molecule: ribosomal RNA, 433 nt
Filed under: uncultured bacterium
Lineage: Bacteria
Description: partial 16S ribosomal RNA
Rfam family: Bacterial small subunit ribosomal RNA
Source: RNAcentral